UCCAAGCUCUCGCAUAGAUUGGAG
RNAcentral lists this non-coding RNA (24 nucleotides) under Arabidopsis thaliana (thale cress). Lineage: Eukaryota; Viridiplantae; Streptophyta; Magnoliopsida; Brassicales; Brassicaceae. The record is from RNAcentral.